CGCAAUGCCGCGUGCAGGAGUAAGGCCUUCGGGUUGUAAACUGCUUUUGUACGGACGAAACGGUCCUGGUUAAUACCUGGGGCUAAUGACGGUACCGUAAGAAUAAGCACCGGCUAACUACGUGCCAGCAGCCGCGGUAAUACGUAGGGUGCAAGCGUUAAUCGGAAUUACUGGGCGUAAAGCGUGCGCAGGCGGUUUGUAAGACAGGCGUGAAAUCCCCGGGCUUAACCUGGGAAUGGCGCUUGUGACUGCAAAGCUGGAGUGCGGCAGAGGGGGAUGGAAUUCCGCGUGUAGCAGUGAAAUGCGUAGAUAUGCGGAGGAACACCGAUGGCGAAGGCAAUCCCCUGGGCCUGCACUGACGCUCAUGCACGAAAGCGUGGGGAGCAAACAGGAUUAGAUACCCUGGUAGUCCACGCCCUAAACGAUGUCAACUGGUUGUUGGGUCUCUUCUGACUCAGUAACGAAGCUAACGCGUGAAGUUGACCGCCUGGGGAGUACGGCCGCAAGGUUG
RNAcentral lists this ribosomal RNA (511 nucleotides) under uncultured Pseudomonadota bacterium. RNAcentral's name for it is "bacterial SSU rRNA". It matches the Rfam family "Bacterial small subunit ribosomal RNA", at positions 390 to 896 of the family's 1533-position model. The record is from RNAcentral. Lineage: Bacteria; Pseudomonadati; Pseudomonadota.